Molecule: long non-coding RNA, 291 nt
Filed under: Phaseolus vulgaris (common bean)
Lineage: Eukaryota; Viridiplantae; Streptophyta; Magnoliopsida; Fabales; Fabaceae
Description: long non-coding RNA (PVUL_LNC005078)
Source: RNAcentral
UCGUCCAAGUAAAAAUUCAUACACAUAUUCAUGUUUUGGUCGGGUAAGGGAUACAUAUGUAUCCAAAUUGAUAUUGUCUCAAAUGUUAACAAUAUUUUUCUUAAAAAAAAAUAUUUGCUAGAAAAGAAAAUAUUAUUAAAUAUUUAAUAUAAAAAACAUACAUUUCAUUUUUUUUAUUAAGGAACUUUGCAUAAAUAUUAAAAUAGAGUAUCAAAUAAAAAUUAUAUAAAUAUCAAAGUAAUUAUAGACAAGAGUUUUUUUUUUAUCAACAAAUUAUAGACAAGAGUAAAC